This 107-nucleotide microRNA precursor is filed under the name Marmota monax (woodchuck). Lineage: Eukaryota; Metazoa; Chordata; Mammalia; Rodentia; Sciuridae. The record is from RNAcentral.
AUCAGCAUCACCUGGGAUCUUGUUAGAAAUGCAGAAUUUUAGGCCAUCCCCAGACCCACUGAAGCAGGAUCUGUAAUUAAUUAAUAAGAUCCCCAGGUGAUUCUUAU